AUGGUGUCUUCGGGUGCCUUCUUGUUUCCGGGCCUCUGUCAAUUUCUCUGCCUCUUCUUGGGUUUCUUCUGCAGCCUACCAUUACUAGGCAUCUGCGAUGAAUCAGAGAGUGACAGGCAAGCCCUCCUCUGCUUCAAGUCCGGGCUCUUGGCACCCGCCGGAGUUCUAGCUUCAUGGAGCAACGCGUCCAUGGGAUUCUGUGACUGGCAUGGGAUCACCUGCAGCGCGACACCACCCAGGCGUGUUGUUGCGCUGGACCUUGAAUCCGAAGGCAUCUCGGGCUCCAUAGCAUCUUGCAUCGCCAACCUCACUUGGCUGGCAAGGCUCCAGCUGUCCAACAACAGCUUCAGUGGCGGCCUACCACCGGAGCUUGGCCUCCUGAGCCGGCUCACCAACCUCAACCUUAGCAUCAACGCUUUGGAAGGUAACAUCCCGCCUGAGCUCUCUGAGUGUUCCCAGCUCCAAAUCCUGGGCUUGUGGAAUAAUUCCUUCCGUGGAGAGAUCCCACCUACCCUUAGCCAAUGCAAGCACCUUCAAGAGAUUGACCUUAGCAACAACAAGCUCCAAGGAAGCAUCCCUCCUGCUUUCGGAGACCUUCCUGCGCUGCGCAUACUAGUUCUCGCCAAAAACAUGCUUACCGGCACCAUACCACCGUCUUUGGGCAGUAGCUGUCAUCUCACAUACGUCGAUCUCGGGAUCAAUGGUCUCGGAGGGGUAAUCCCGGAGUCCUUGGCAAAUAGCUCAUCCCUUCAAGUACUUAGGCUUAUGAGCAAUAGUCUUACUGGUGAACUCCCAAAGGAUCUUCUCAACACUUUGUCACUUGGUACCAUUAGCCUCGAAGAGAACAGUUUUGUUGGUUCAAUACCCUCUGUUACUGUCACAUCUUCCCCUAUUAAGCAUCUUGAUUUAGCGAAUAACAAUCUUUCAGGAAGAAUACCUUCCUCAGUAGGGAACCUUUCCUCCUUAGUUUAUCUUCGUCUUACAAACAACCAUUUAGUUGGGAGCAUCCCGGAGAGCUUAGGUUAUAUUCCAACACUAGAGACAUUGACCUUGCAUAUAAACAACUUAUCUGGGCCGGUUCCACCAUGUAUCUUCAACAUGUCAUCUCUGAGAAGUCUCGCCAUAGCAAAUAACACACUUGUCGGAAGAUUACCCUUCGACAUUGGCUACACACUCCCCAAUAUCCAGAACCUACUACUCUCAGAAAAUAGUUUUGAUGGACCAAUCCCAGCCUCUCUUCUCAAAGCUUACCACCUACGCUGGCUUUACCUGAAUGGUAAUAGCUUUACUGGAUCCAUACCAUUUUUCGGCUCAUUGCCAAAUUUGGAGGAACUCGAUUUGGGACACAACAAGCUAGAAGCAGAUGACUGGGGCUUUGUCUCUUCACUAUCUAAUUGCUCCAGACUGAGCAUGCUGGCCCUGGAUGGGAACAAUCUCAAAGGGAAAUUGCCAAGUUCUAUUGGCAACCUUUCGAACAGUCUCGAGUGUCUGUACCUAAGUAGUAACCAAAUUUCUGGACCUAUACCACCAGAGAUUGGAAAUCUUAAGAGCCUCAAUAGCUUGUACAUGAAUUACAAUCUUCUCACCGGUAAUAUACCGCCAACAAUUGGGAAACUGCAGAACUUGAUCUUACUAUCCUUUGCGCAAAACAGGCUUUCAGGUCAGAUUCCAGAUACUUUUGGCAAUUUUGUUCAGCUGAGUAUGCUGGAAAUGGAUCAUAACAACUUUAGUGGAAGAAUACCUGCAAGUAUAGCACAGUGCACUCAACUCACCACACUCAACCUUGCUCACAACUCACUAGAUGGGCAUAUACCAAGAGAAAUCUUCAAACUCUCUACGCUUUCUGAAGAGUUGGACUUGUCAGACAACAACUUGUCUGGAGGAAUGCCAGAUGAAGUUGGCAAUCUCGUUCAUCUGCAGAAAAUCAACAUGUCAAAUAACAGGUUGUCUGGUAACAUCCCAUCAACUCUCAGCCAGUGUGUUGUUCUGGAGUAUCUUGGGAUGCAAAGCAACUUGUUUGCAGGAAGCAUUCCACAAUCAUUUGCCAACUUAGUCAGCAUAAAACAGAUGGAUGUUUCUAGGAACAAUUUGUCUGGAAAAAUUCCAGAGUUCCUCAAAUCCAUGAAAUCACUGCAAGACCUCAAUUUAUCCUUCAACCAUUUUGAUGGAGCAGUUCCAACAGGCGGUGUUUUUGACAUCGCUGGUGCAGUGUCAAUCGAAGGAAAUUAUCAUCUGUGUACAAGCAUUCCAACAAGAGGGGUGUCUCUUUGUUCAGCAGUGGUUGACAAGAAAAGAAAGCAGAAGCUACUGAUUCUAGUUCUACUGCCAACUGUUGUUGCCACUGCAAUCCUUUUCUCAUUUAUUGCAACAAUUUGUUUGAGGAAAAGGAUGAAAACCAAUCCCCAUUUGCAACAUGACAAUGAGCAGAUAAAGAUAGAGAAGAUAUCAUAUGAAAAGGUAUCAUAUAAAGACUUGGUAAGGGCAACUGAUAGAUUUUCUUCAGCAAACUUAAUUGGUUCUGGAUCAUUUGGAAGGGUUUAUAAGGGCAGUCUGCAGUUUCAAGAAGAUCAAGUUGCCAUCAAGAUUUUUGAUCUUGACAUUAAUGGGGCACAUCGGAGCUUCAUAGCAGAGUGUGAAGCCCUAAGAAAUGUUCGCCACCGGAAUCUUGUAAAAAUAAUUACCUUAUGCUCUUCAGUGGAUCAUACUGGGGCGGAUUUCAAGGCCCUAGUGUUCCCAUACAUGCCAAAUGGGAACCUAGAAAUGUGGCUACAUCUAAAAGACCCUGAAAAUGGUGAAAGGAGUAUUCUGACUUUAAGCCAAAGGACUAACAUAGCCUUGGAUGUAGCACUUGCUUUGGAUUAUCUUCACAACCAAUGUGCACCUCCAGUUAUACAUUGCGACUUGAAGCCAACCAAUAUUCUUUUGGGUCUUGACAUGGUUGCAUACGUCAUUGACUUUGGCCUAGCAAGAUUCUUGUUCAGGACAGAGAAUGCACAUCAAGAUAGUUCAGCAACUUUGAGCCGCUUAAAAGGAACCAUAGGAAUACAUCCCACCAGAGUAUGGAAUGAGCGAAGAGAUAUCAACCAAGGGUGA
RNAcentral lists this ribosomal RNA (3093 nucleotides) under Triticum aestivum (bread wheat). RNAcentral describes it as "partial small subunit ribosomal RNA". The record is from RNAcentral. Lineage: Eukaryota; Viridiplantae; Streptophyta; Magnoliopsida; Poales; Poaceae.